CAACUUUUAACAACGGAUCUCUUGGCUCUCGCAUCGAUGAAGAACGCAGCGAAAUGCGAUAAGUAAUGUGAAUUGCAGAAUUCAGUGAAUCAUCGAAUCUUUGAACGCACCUUGCGCUCUCUGGUAUUCCGGGGAGCACACCUGUUUGAGUGUCAUU
Molecule: ribosomal RNA, 157 nt
Filed under: Hydnum tomaense
Lineage: Eukaryota; Fungi; Basidiomycota; Agaricomycetes; Cantharellales; Hydnaceae
Description: 5.8S ribosomal RNA
Rfam family: 5.8S ribosomal RNA
About the family: 5.8S ribosomal RNA (5.8S rRNA) is a component of the large subunit of the eukaryotic ribosome. It is transcribed by RNA polymerase I as part of the 45S precursor that also contains 18S and 28S rRNA. Functionally, it is thought that 5.8S rRNA may be involved in ribosome translocation.
Source: RNAcentral